Molecule: non-coding RNA, 71 nt
Organism: Tachyglossus aculeatus (Australian echidna)
Lineage: Eukaryota; Metazoa; Chordata; Mammalia; Monotremata; Tachyglossidae
Source: the annotation of a RefSeq genome assembly
GCAUUGGUGGUUCAGUGGUAGAAUUCUCUCCUGCCAUGUGAGAGGCCCGGGUUCAAUUUCCGGCCAACGCA